This 77-nucleotide transfer RNA is filed under the name Thermotoga sp. Its description in RNAcentral is "tRNA-Trp". It matches the Rfam family "tRNA". From Rfam's summary of the family: Transfer RNA (tRNA) molecules are approximately 80 nucleotides in length. Their secondary structure includes four short double-helical elements and three loops (D, anti-codon, and T loops). RNAcentral also lists the same sequence under 3 other names. The record is from RNAcentral. Lineage: Bacteria; Thermotogati; Thermotogota; Thermotogae; Thermotogales; Thermotogaceae.
AGGGCCGUAGCUCAAUUGGGUAGAGCACCGGUCUCCAAAAUCGGGGGUUGCGGGUUCGACUCCUGCCGGCCCUGCCA